RNAcentral lists this ribosomal RNA (497 nucleotides) under uncultured bacterium. RNAcentral's name for it is "partial 16S ribosomal RNA". It matches the Rfam family "Bacterial small subunit ribosomal RNA", at positions 28 to 507 of the family's 1533-position model. The record is from RNAcentral.
GAUGAACGCUGGCGGCGUGCCUAAUACAUGCAAGUCGAGCGAACAGAUAAGGAGCUUGCUCCUUUGACGUUAGCGGCGGACGGGUGAGUAACACGUGGGUAACCUACCUAUAAGACUGGAAUAACUCCGGGAAACCGGGGCUAAUGCAGGAUAACAUGUUGAACCGCAUGGUUCUACAGUGAAAGGCGGCUUUGCUGUCACUUAUAGAUGGACCCGCGCCGUAUUAGCUAGUUGGUGAGGUAACGGCUCACCAAGGCAACGAUACGUAGCCGACCUGAGAGGGUGAUCGGCCACACUGGAGCUGAGACACGGUCCAGACUCCUACGGGAGGCAGCAGUAGGGAAUCUUCCGCAAUGGGCGAAAGCCUGACGGAGCAACGCCGCGUGAGUGAUGAAGGUCUUCGGAUCGUAAAACUCUGUUAUUAGGGAAGAACAAAUGCGUAAGUAACUGUGCGCGUCUUGACGGUACCUAAUCAGAAAGCCACGGCUAACUACGUG